This is a long non-coding RNA of Esox lucius (northern pike), 2222 nucleotides long. NCBI's taxonomy places the organism in Eukaryota, Metazoa, Chordata, Actinopteri, Esociformes, Esocidae. The record is from Ensembl.
GUUUCUUUUACUGUAUUCUCUUUUUCUCUGUCCCUCCCUUUCUCUCUUUUAUUAUUUCCCAUCACCAAUUUAUAUCUCAUGAAUUUUGCUUGGCUUUCUUCUCUCCUGGCUGUUCUUUCCACCCCCCUCUCCUCCGCCCCCUCCGUUUCUUUCUCUCUGUGGACAUGUUUAAUCUUUCUCUCAGCGCUGCACAUUUUUGUGUCUCUGUCUUUGUUUACAUUAUAAAGUCUGUUGUUGGACUUGGAUGUAAAUUUGUCAGUAAAUGCUCUCAUCGCCUCCUGUGGUGUCUGUUUGGGGUGUGACGGGAUAGAGCCGGCAAUGAGGCUAAUCCAGGAGGUAGGGCAUGCACAAGUUUUCUCGUUUCUCUCAGCAUGUUUUCCUUCUGAUUUAUACCGCCACUAGGGACCCCUCUCUGUAAUGAAAGAAAAUGGAUGAUCCCCUUGUUAUUUUGUGUAUGAAUGGGCUUGCAACACCGCGUCUGGGUAAUGUUAAAAAUUAUUCCAAUUUUCACCUUGUAAUUUUGAAACAUUCACCUUCUGCCUCUCCUUUCCCAGUGCGGUUGCUGAUUUCCAGUUGUGUGUGUUUUGUGUGCGUGUGUCUCUCAUCUUAUGCUAUUGCUGAUUUCGUAUUCUGUCCUGUCCCAUCCCUCUACUCAGUAGGAAGGCCAUUGAGCUUUCUUUCAAUAUGAAUCACUCUCUAGAGUCGCUCUGCGGGUCGAUCUGGCUUAACAGUGACAGAGGCUGGCAAGGUUAUGCAGCAGCGUUCAGUGUCAUCAAUAGUAGUUCCAACUCCAUAGGACAACAUCAUGCAACAGUGUUCAGUGUCGGCAGUAGAAUCUUUUGUCUCACUCAACCGGACAAGGCAGUGUUCAGCAUCAGCAGUAGUAGCUUCACAACAAUAGAACAAGGUUAAACAGCAGUGUUCAGUGUCAGCAGUAGUAGCUUCACAACAAUAGGACAAGGUUAAACAGCAGUGUUCAGUGUCAGCAGUAGUAGCUUCACAACAAUAGGACAAGGUUAAACAGCAGUGUUCAGUGUCAGCAGUAGUAGCUUCACAACAAUAGGACAAGAUUUAACAGCAGUGUUCAGUGUCAGCAGUAGUAGCAUUAACUCCUUAGGACAAGGGUAAACAUGCAGUGUUGUGUCAGCAGUAGUAGCUCCAACUUAAUAGGCCAGCAGUGUUCAGUAGAACAAGUAGUAGCUUCAGCCCUUAGGAAAAGGCUGAGCAACAGUGGUAUCUCAAACUCCACAGAAGAAGGAUAGAAAGCAGUAUCAAUUGUCAGCUGUAGUAGCUUCAUGUCCACAGGAUAAGAUCAAGAAGUGUUUUCAGUAUCAGCAGUAGUAACUCCAAUGCCACAGGAAAAGGUUAAGCAGCAGUGUUCAGUGUCAGCAGCAGUAGUUGCUCCAAUGCCACAGGACAAUGUUAAGCAGCAGUGUUCAGUGUCAGCAGCAGUAGUAGCUUCAACUCAGCAGGAUGGGGCUAAGCAGCAGUAUUCAUUGUCAGCAGUGGUAUCUUCAACUCCACAGGACAAGGUGAAUCUGGUAGUGUUCAGUGUCAGCAGCAGUAGCUCAAAGUCCACAGGAAAAGGGUAUUCUGCCAUUCUUUGAUUAUAUCACCCACAUUUCCUAGAUAGGUCUGGGUGGACGUUGUCAUUCAUGACUGUUUUUAAUAAAGGUUGUAGAAAUGUCUCUUUUGCAUUGGUAAAUUUGUUCAAAUGUAUUACAAUUAUCUGUUGGAAUGUACAAAUGGUGACAAUUUAAAGGAAAAACCUGAAUAAAUGAGUGGAGGAACAUGACGAAUGCAGAAACCUCCAUAUAGGUGUGCUGCAUGUUACAAUUAACAUCCUAUUAUUCUCUUUCGCAUCUAUGAAAGGCUGAACAUGCCCAGUUGACCUCGAAUUUGGAUCAAGAUGGCAGGAAGAAAGGAUGUAAUUGUUAGAACUCCAUCCCUCCAGUACAGUUCCAGGGACUCAGAAUCUAUGCCAAGACAUAUUAAUGCUGAUCUGGCAGCUCGUGGUGGCCCAACACCUUACUGAGUCAUUUAUUGUUUUUUUUUCUUUUGAUUUGUCACUCGUCUGUAGAUUCUAUCACAAUGAGACUAACCUGUAUGAAUGAAGGUUAAAUAAAAUAUAAAAUGAAAUAGUCUGAGUUUCCAAAUGUUUUAUUUGCUACUAAAUUCCUUCUCAUAAAACCACAAGAUUUAUCAAAGUUGGCAGGUCUUAG